Molecule: non-coding RNA, 4828 nt
Organism: Cricetulus griseus (Chinese hamster)
Lineage: Eukaryota; Metazoa; Chordata; Mammalia; Rodentia; Cricetidae
Source: RefSeq, a predicted model, not a curated record
CUUCUCAGAUGUCCUAAGAGGUUUUUAAAUAACUUAAGAGCUAUGACUCUAUUUUCUGUACUUUCAGAAUUGUGGCCUUGACACGGAUGUGUACAAUGGAGGCCUCUGCGUAUGUAUGUACCCAGUGCUGCCAAGACCCACGGUGAAACUGUAUCUUCUGGCCACAGUUUUAAGGCUUACAGACGCCCGGAACCCUUGCACCCCAGGUUCCUUGGAGCCUUUCUCCAGGGCUAAUCCCAAGGGUUCCUGAGGAUGCUGAAGGAGGUCACCCCAUUUGUCUGCUGGGGAGAGAAUGUGGAGGGUGUUCAGCAGAAUCCACGCUGGAACUCAGAAUUCAAUGAUUGGUUGGACAAAUGAAUGAAUUUUGGGCAGCGCAAAGAAUGGGCACGCUAAGCUGGUACCAGGAGGUGAUGCUGAAGGAGAAACUUGUCAUUAAAACCCUGUGGAACUGACCUGCUCCAGAGAAGGACAUCAAAUGCCUUGACUAGCUGCCCUUGUGAAUCUGAUUGAAGGAGGCUCUGAGGUGUGGACAAAGCUAGUUUGGACCUGCACCUCUUUUGUUCAUCUGUGGGAUUUUCACAGGAGAGCAGAGGUGGAGAUCGAGUACUGGGCCUCGAUGUGGACCUGAAAGGUAUGGGCUUUGCCACCAUGGGGAAGUCUGAGACAGAACAUAAAAAUGCCUUUUGCCCCCUGUAUGAGGGGACUUGUUCAGGCUAAACAGUGCAAUCUGGAAAAGCUGAAGAGAUGGGAAAUAACCAGGAAGCCUCCUGCCUCCCUCAUAGCCUGUCCUACUGGGAUGUGUCGUCCAUUUGAGAGGAAUGGGGAUGCUAUUAGUGGCAGGGUCAUGACUAGAGUUAGCCUGGUUGACCACUUAACUGUUGUGUGCCACUCACUUAACCCCUAAGCUCCCAUCAAGCACCAAACACCACUCACUUUAAUUUCCCAAGGGAUGAAUGGCCUGGUCCACAGUGAAUACCCUCAUAAAUGUUAGUUCCCUCUUCUACCCCACCCCCAAAUACCGUUUUCCUCCACAAACUGCCACCUAGCCCUGGGGGCACAGCUCAAUAAAGUCCCCAUAAAACUCCACUUCUCCGAGUCCAGCUUCAGAAUUUACAGCCAGUGGAUUCAUCACAUUGUUUAAAUUAUGGCAAUAUGAAAAUACAGAAAAUCCACGGGGAGCCAGGCUUUUCCCAUAUAUAAAACAGGGUUACGAUCCUAUAUAAGCUUUUAAAAGAGAAUGCUUUAGUUUAUAUCUUCAUACAAAAGACUGGAAAAGAAAAAGAAAGGAAAGGGAACUCACUGGCAAACAAUAGGGUCUCACACCCUCUCUGAGGAAGCCCUUGGCUCCUUCCUAUGCAUUCUCCACUUUCAUGACAUCCCUACUGUAGCCAGCUGGGAAUUACCUGGCUCCAGAGUCCUGGUGCCUCCUCAGGAUCCCUUGGCUCAUCAAUACUUCUCCAUCUCCACUGUCACACCCUGUGUCCCAGUUACCAGCCUCCCUGUCACCAGCAUCCUUUUCCUGGACCAUGAACCUCUUUGCAAUGAAUCAGCCUGUGUCUGUUGGGGCUGCAGCAGACAGGAUGGGUGGAGGCAGGAAGCAUGCAGGGGCAUACAGAUCUAGGCUGCCUUUUUCCACGUCAGACCUCAGAGAGGCCCAUCUGUGCCUUGAAAGUAUCUAAGCCCCUCUGCAUCUCAGCUUGGCUCUACUCCAUCAAGAUCUGCCCUACCUGCUUCUGCUACUGCCUCCCUUGCUGCCAAUGUGGUAUUCUGUUUCCCUUGCCUGGAAGGCUCUUUGCUUGGAACAUCCCCAAGCUGUCUACUCUUUUCUCUGGAGGUUCAGGCUUUCAAAGCUUCCUCUGAGAGCAUCUACUGGUCACCCUACCGCCCCUCACCCACCUCAAACCAGAUCAAAUCUUCCAACUCUCCGCCACAUCACAAAUGUCCUUCAUCCCACAUCGUGGACAAAGUGACUACAAAUCUGAUGACUCUGUAUCCCUGCUAAGCUGUGAGCUCUAUGGGGCAAUGACUGAAUCUGAUUUUUCUCAUCCUUCCAUGAAGUUAAGAGACUGAAGACUCUUAAGGAAGGACAACUUUCACAUGGUAGACACUUAGGGCAGACCUCAGGUUUACCACCAGUCUCAAACGUAAAUCGGGUAGAAGGACACCUAUGGUGUGGUGCUGUGAGAGUAGGAAACAAAUUUGUGAAAUGUAUAUCUAUAAGGAUUUCAUUUAUCCUGUGUGUCUGUUCUUGUGAGGGUCUGGGGACAGGAGAAGGAGCGUUUCUAACACCACGAUCACCACUGCUGAUGAAUUAUUCAGCACUAGCUAAUACCCACCAGAGAUGUGCGUCGGUGAAUUCUUGGAUCCCAGUUCUGUUUACGUUUGGACAGUGAAGGAGUAUCAGUUGUGAGUUUUCAAAUGAGACCUCCUCUCGGAUGGCAGCACAUGAAAGACUUGCCUGGGCACUGAUCCAAGGUUCUGUACACAACAUGUGUGGAUGUUCGAGAGCAAUUUUGUUUGCUCAUGGCCCCACCUGUCAGGAGCCACAUCCAAAUAAGAAAAACACAUUAUUAGCCCUUAUGGCAACAAGAGAGUCGUUUGUACAGAACAGCAAAGGUGGCUAAGGAUUAAAUUCUCCUGGGUAAGCAUGGGUGAAUCUUGCGAGCCUUUCCAAAGCCUUCUGGAGUUUUGGAGUUGGGCAAAGCAUUUAAGGACACCUCAAGGAACCCUUGGCAAAGUGGCUUGGUAGAGAAGCCAGACAUUUGGAGACUGAAAACGACCUACAAGUUUAUGAUGGUAUCCCACUGAUGUCCUAGGGUGGUGCUGAAGAUUAAACUCACAUCCACAAUAAGGAACACAGUCUUCCUGUUCUGUCUGACUGCUCCUGUCUGUUAUAGUGCAUACUCAGCCUUCUGAAGAACAUGGAAUAUUACCUGAAUAACACCUCAAAGAAUGUUUUCCAAGCACUCAUCAUUUGGAGUUUGGCUAACUAGUCAGUUAAUGAAAAGAAAAAAGAAAUAAAAAAGGAAGAAUAUGGCUGUUUUAGGUAUGGUAAAGGAGAAGGCUUAUUGUAGAGAAAAGAGAGAGCAUAGUCAGAGGCAGAGACAUCUGGUAAAGUCUGCAGUGAACAUGACCUGACUGAGCUGGGCCAGAUAGAGUGGGGGCAGGGGUGGGGCAAGAGAGGAGCUGCUGACCAAGAAGGAUGGACUGGGCCAAGAGACUGGUGUAGGCGCCAGAGGAAUGGGGGAGAGGGGGCUAGGAAGACCAGCCUCUGGGCCAGAGACAUUUAGCAUAGGUGGUAGGGUCUGCUAGCCAUACCAUGUAAUAGAUAGGACUGAGAGAUGCUGGGAGAAUCUGGAGUCAGAGUCUGCUUUGAUAUGUUAAUGGAUACCCCAGUUAGCCAGCAGUCAAUCUUGAGAAAGUCAGUCACACUGCCUGUCCUGCACUGCCCUAGGGAUAACACAUUGCAGAAGACACAGAGCAACUGUAGUCACCAACGGCCAUACUGAUGUUGUGAAGCACCAGUUGCUAAGUGCUUUGAAGAGUAAUUGGUUUUUUUGUUUUUUUUUUAAUCUCUUCCGGUGAUCUUAUGAGGUACCACCAUUGUUUCCAUUUUGCUCAUUAAGAACAUACAUACAUACAUACAUACAGACAGAAAAACAGGCAAACCCAGGCAUAGAGAAGGCACAUGACUCUCCCCAAAACCACUCCAUUGGUGCAGAAUUGAGGCAUGAUUUGACUGACCCGUGACAGUCUAAGUACAGAGCUACAGGCCCUUCCUCUCUGCUGAUACCUCUCCGUAGCAAUGAUGGACAGCUGCCGCUUCUGCUAGGAUUCUGGGGGCUCUUAGGAAGAGGUCAUAAGAUUUAGUAUCUAAAACACUCCUACAUGGCACAUGCAAUUGAAUGGGCUGCCAGCAUAUCAUACUAUGGAGCACACAAUGUAUGAGAUUUGUGAGAUACAUAACAAAAGACCUGGAAAACAAGAGAUGCCAUCUUUGCUACUUCUGCCGGUUUCUUUACUGGUCUAUGCUAUUGGUUUGAGUUGCUAAAUUGGACUGGCCCAAGGCAGGCAUUUUUUUCUGGUCACUGUCCUGGCUGUAGUGAAGUUCUGAGGUGGCUGGUGCUUGCUGUAUUCUAGCCCCCAUGCUUCACUCACUCUUGGCUCUUCCCAUAGAGAUUGUCAUCUGGCUCUGGACCGAGUGCAGCAUUUUCAGGGAAUCCCCCAAAUUCAUUUGUCUUUAUUUCCCCCAGUAUCACUCUCUUUCAAGCUCAUUUUCUUCUGAGGACACCAUGACCUAACCUUGGGAAAGCUUCUGUGUUAGAUUUCCUUGGCUAUGACAAAAAUCCCCAAGGUAGACAACUUAAAAGAGGGAAAUGUCCGUUCAUUAUUUCCUAAGUCCCUGUUCUGGUUGGUUGACUCUAUCAUUGUGCUAAUUAUUUUUCUGGCUGUGUCAAAAGCAGCUUAAUGACAAAGGGGAGGUUUAUUCUGGUUCACAGUUUAAGGGUACUGUCCACAGUCUAUCAUAGCAAAGAAGUCCUAUGAUAGACAGGGACAGGAGACAACUGAUUACAUUGCAUCCAUAGUCUGUUCAUGUCCAGAGAGAUUUCAGAAGAGGCUCCCUUAGCUUUAAGUUUUAGUUUAGCAGAGGUUCAGAUUGAGGGAACAAUUUUUCCCCAGAGCAGAGACUAACAGUCCUGCAUGUAGACCAGCAGACUAGUAACAUAACAUCAGAGACCCUUGGCCACACUUCCCUGAGCUUUUUCUCUAAUCUAGUAAUCUAGGAAUGUGUUUUUCCCACUCUUUUCACCACCAUUGUCAUAUUUCU